CUUUAACUGACGCUGAGGCACGAAAGCGUGGGUAGCAAACAGGAUUAGAUACCCUGGUAGUCCACGCUGUAAACGAUGAUUACUAGGUGUGGGGGGACUGACCCCUUCCGUGCCGGAGUUAACACAAUAAGUAAUCCACCUGGGGAGUACGGCCGCAAGGUUGAAACUCAAAGGAAUUGACGGGGGCCCGCACAAGCAGUGGAGUAUGUGGUUUAAUUCGAAGCAACGCGAAGAACCUUACCAGGCCUUGACAUCCGACUAACGAAGUAGAGAUACAUCAGGUGCCCUUCGGGGAAAGUCGAGACAGGUGGUGCAUGGUUGUCGUCAGCUCGUGUCGUGAGAUGUUGGGUUAAGUCCCGCAACGAGCGCAACCCUUGCUAUUAGUUGCUACGCAAGAGCACUCUAAUAGGACUGCCGUUGACAAAACGGAGGAAGGUGGGGACGACGUCAAAUCAUCAUGCCCCUUAUGACCUGGGCUACACACGUACUACAAUGGCCAUCAACAGAGGGAAGCAAAACAGCGAUGUGGAGCAAACCCCUAAAAAUGGUCUCAGUUCAGAUUGCAGGCUGCAACCCGCCUGCAUGAAGUCGGAAUUGCUAG
RNAcentral lists this ribosomal RNA (601 nucleotides) under uncultured bacterium. RNAcentral describes it as "bacterial SSU rRNA". It matches the Rfam family "Bacterial small subunit ribosomal RNA", at positions 734 to 1338 of the family's 1533-position model. The record is from RNAcentral.